RNAcentral lists this long non-coding RNA (811 nucleotides) under Gopherus agassizii (Agassiz's desert tortoise). Its description in RNAcentral is "lncRNA (ENSGAGG00000020684.1)". Lineage: Eukaryota; Metazoa; Chordata; Testudines; Testudinidae. The record is from RNAcentral.
CAGGUGCAGAGCUGACUGCGAAACAGUGACCAAGAAUGUUCCUCCUGAGCCAAGAGCUGAGCAGGGUUGAUCAGAGAGAGAGAGAGAGUGAGAGAGAGAGAGAGAGACAGAGCUAUCUGGAGUGACAGCAGCCAUGUAACAGAAGCAAUUAACAUUUGGCAGUGUCCCCUGGAGUGGAACACCUCAUAAAUCUCCCGCUACGAAAGCUGAGAGAACACGAGUCUCUUACUCCAUGCUGCUCCACGGGAAAGAAAGUGGGCAUUGUUCAGCAUCCAGGCUCAGGUUGUCUAGCUCCAUGGGAAGGAGUCUUGCUAUGAAGAAGGAGCAGUAUCACCUGUUCAAAGGCAGAGCUCACCCACUGGUGCCUCUCCAGCUUUUCAUUUAUAGGCCAAUCAUGGGAAUCGAAGAAGUAACCAAGGGAAGAAGUGUGGCAAGAGGAAUCCCUCCUCUACUUUCUAUGGAGCUGAACUCACCAUGAGUACUGCAGAAGUGAAAAGAACAAGAGUCCUACUUCAAAAAAACAACAAAAUUAAGUGUUUCUCUCUUUUUUCUUUGCCUGACAACAAUCAGCUAUGACACCCUGUAUCAGCAAAUGGAGAACGUUCAAAGCAUUGAAAGAUUCUACAUUAAUAACUGAAUCCCAUUAUUGGACCCUAUAUUUGUGCAUUUUUGAUAUGAUGAAAAUACAGAUUAGAGAAAAAUAACUGUCUAGAUACUACAGUGUCAAGUGUAUUAGUAACACAUAGAUAAAUUUAGAUAGAAAAAGCACAGGUGUCUUUACAAAAAGCUGCAAGAAAUAAAUGAGAAAAAU